GGAAGUCUUCCAGCUGACACUACAUUGCCUCGCCGUAAUUCUGCAUUAGAAAUGUCAUUAGCUCCUCCACCCAUGCCCAGGCGGCAUUCUCAAACAUUGGUCAAUGGUCCUUCAUCUUCUGUGGUUCACUCAACGACACUUAAUAGUUCUACUGUGAUAGAGACUUCUGCUUUAACCUCAAGCAAUGCUGGAUCAUCAUCAUCAUCCAUGUCUCAUUCUCUACAAAUAGGUGGAAAUACACCACAGUUACCUCCAAAGACAUAUAGACAGACAUUAUUAAUGAAUAAUCACACAGCUGCUAGAUAGUUAAUCUUUUAUUUACUGCUAUGUAUAGACAACAAACUAUUAAAAUUGAAUAUAAUUGGUACUUUGUAUUAGUACUACAAAUUAUAAUGUAAAUAAUGUGAAAUGAAAGAUGAGAACCGACCAAAGGGCAGCAUGAAAGUUCAAAUAUAGUACGGCUAAUUAUAGUCAAUUCGCGGAGCUGCUUUCCAAGUUUGUCUCAUUCCCUUAAUGAAUUAUGGAAAGCAUUUGUACAGUAACUGAUUUAUUGAUAAAUUAGGGCAAUAAACAAUAAUGGCAAAUUUCCCAAACUUGUAUUUAUUUCUUAUUUUUACUAUGAUUUGUAUAAACUGGGAAAAAUGGCCCUUGUAUGAGAAAAUGGGAAAAAUAAAUAAUA
This 679-nucleotide long non-coding RNA is filed under the name Androctonus crassicauda. The record is from RNAcentral. Lineage: Eukaryota; Metazoa; Arthropoda; Arachnida; Scorpiones; Buthidae.